UGCAAUGAUGGUUGUAAUUUGCGUCAGAUAGUUAGCAGGUUGACAGUAGCCUGCUGUUAUAUACCUGCUAGCUUUAUAUGAUGACAAUACCUGCUGAGCA
This is a small nucleolar RNA of Ruditapes philippinarum (Manila clam), 100 nucleotides long. RefSeq annotates it as small nucleolar RNA SNORD16. The transcript has a single exon. NCBI's taxonomy places the organism in Eukaryota, Metazoa, Mollusca, Bivalvia, Venerida, Veneridae. The record is from RefSeq and is a predicted model, not a curated record.